UACAGAGGUCUCAAGCGUUGUUCGGAUUCAUUGGGCGUAAAGGGUGCGUAGGCGGCUCGGUAAGUCGGGUGUGAAAUUUCGAGGCUUAACUUCGAAACUGCAUUCGAUACUGCCGUGCUAGAGGACUGGAGAGGAGACUGGAAUUUACGGUGUAGCGGUGAAAUGCGUAGAUAUCGUGAGGAACACCAGAGGCGAAGGCGGCUCCCUGGACAAUUGCUGACGCUCAGGAACGAAAGCGUGGGGAGCAAAAGGG
Molecule: ribosomal RNA, 253 nt
Filed under: uncultured bacterium
Lineage: Bacteria
Description: partial 16S ribosomal RNA
Rfam family: Bacterial small subunit ribosomal RNA
Source: RNAcentral